This 925-nucleotide ribosomal RNA is filed under the name Salmonella enterica subsp. enterica serovar Kentucky. Its description in RNAcentral is "partial 23S ribosomal RNA". It matches the Rfam family "Bacterial large subunit ribosomal RNA", at positions 670 to 1595 of the family's 2925-position model. The record is from RNAcentral. Lineage: Bacteria; Pseudomonadati; Pseudomonadota; Gammaproteobacteria; Enterobacterales; Enterobacteriaceae.
AGGGAAACCGAGUCUUAACUGGGCGUUAAGUUGCAGGGUAUAGACCCGAAACCCGGUGAUCUAGCCAUGGGCAGGUUGAAGGUUGGGUAACACUAACUGGAGGACCGAACCGACUAAUGUUGAAAAAUUAGCGGAUGACUUGUGGCUGGGGGUGAAAGGCCAAUCAAACCGGGAGAUAGCUGGUUCUCCCCGAAAGCUAUUUAGGUAGCGCCUCGUGAACUCAUCUUCGGGGGUAGAGCACUGUUUCGGCUAGGGGGUCAUCCCGACUUACCAACCCGAUGCAAACUGCGAAUACCGAAGAAUGUUAUCACGGGAGACACACGGCGGGUGCUAACGUCCGUCGUGAAGAGGGAAACAACCCAGACCGCCAGCUAAGGUCCCAAAGUCACAGUUAAGUGGGAAACGAUGUGGGAAGGCUCAGACAGCCAGGAUGUUGGCUUAGAAGCAGCCAUCAUUUAAAGAAAGCGUAAUAGCUCACUGGUCGAGUCGGCCUGCGCGGAAGAUGUAACGGGGCUAAACUGUGCACCGAAGCUGCGGCAGCGACGCUUAUGCGUUGUUGGGUAGGGGAGCGUUCUGUAAGCCUGCGAAGGUGUCCUGUGAGGGAUGCUGGAGGUAUCAGAAGUGCGAAUGCUGACAUAAGUAACGAUAAUGCGGGUGAAAAGCCCGCUCGCCGGAAGACCAAGGGUUCCUGUCCAACGUUAAUCGGGGCAGGGUGAGUCGACCCCUAAGGCGAGGCCGAAAGGCGUAGUCGAUGGGAAACGGGUUAAUAUUCCCGUACUUGGUGUUACUGCGAAGGGGGGACGGAGAAGGCUAUGUUGGCCGGGCGACGGUUGUCCCGGUUUAAGCGUGUAGGCUGGUUUUCCAGGCAAAUCCGGAAAAUCAAGGCUGAGGCGUGAUGACGAGGCACUACGGUGCUGAAGCAACA